UCGGGUGAGUAAAGCAUAGGAAUCUGCCCUAGAGUGGGGGAUAACCCGGGGAAACCCGGGCUAAUACCGCAUACUCUCUACGGAGCAAAGUGGGGGACCUUCGGGCCUCACGCUUUAGGAGGAGCCUAUGUCGGAUUAGCUAGUUGGUAGGGUAAAGGCCUACCAAGGCGACGAUCCGUAGCUGGUCUGAGAGGACGAUCAGCCACACUGGGACUGAGACACGGCCCAGACUCCUACGGGAGGCAGCAGUGGGGAAUAUUGGACAAUGGGCGCAAGCCUGAUCCAGCAAUGCCGCGUGUGUGAAGAAGGCCUUCGGGUUGUAAAGCACUUUUGUUGAAGAAGAAAUGGCUAGUUUUAAUACAACUAGCAGUUGACGGUAUUCGGCGAAUAAGCACCGGCUAACUCUGUGCCAGCAGCCGCGGUAAGACAGAGGGUGCAAGCGUUAAUCGGAAUUACUGGGCGUAAAGAGCUCGUAGGCGGUUGAAUAAGUUGGAUGUAAAAGCCCUAGGCUUAACCUGGGAAUGCCAUUCAAGACUGUUCAACUCGAGUUAGGUAGAGGAAAGUGGAAUUUCCGGUGU
RNAcentral lists this ribosomal RNA (578 nucleotides) under uncultured bacterium. Its description in RNAcentral is "bacterial SSU rRNA". It matches the Rfam family "Bacterial small subunit ribosomal RNA", at positions 100 to 676 of the family's 1533-position model. The record is from RNAcentral.